GGGGAUGCUGGGUUUCGAUAGAGAGACUAUCAUUUUGCAUUCGAGAUGAGUUCGUGGGAGUCUCAUAAAAACUUUCACACCUAAAUAAGUGCAAAAAAUGUACUAGCAAAAGCUAAAGCUGCUUUCAGCAUGCCAGCUUUUGCACCUGUUGUCGCUUAAAAUUGCCACAACCAUCCGACUUCUUGAUGUCUAGUAGGGAAGACCCGGGUGUCAUAUCACUAGACUGGACCCGAGUGUGCGGUUAACUUUGGUCGAGAUUUAUCAAACUGCUCGCUGUUUAUUUUUUUGUUUGGUUUUUAGAUAAACAGUUAAAUCACAAACUAAUCUAGUCUUCGUAAAAUUGUAAAAUGUAACUUUCUAGACGCGAGUUCAACUCUCGCCAUCUCCACAA
This 391-nucleotide transfer-messenger RNA is filed under the name Patescibacteria group. Its description in RNAcentral is "BM705 sp002869165 Standard tmRNA". It matches the Rfam family "transfer-messenger RNA". Rfam says of the family: Bacterial tmRNA, also known as 10Sa RNA or SsrA, is named for its dual tRNA and mRNA-like properties. The record is from RNAcentral.